Molecule: ribosomal RNA, 194 nt
Filed under: uncultured bacterium
Lineage: Bacteria
Description: partial 16S ribosomal RNA
Rfam family: Bacterial small subunit ribosomal RNA
Source: RNAcentral
GAAAUUCGCCUUCAUGAAGCUGGAAUUGCUAGUAAUGGCAGGUCAGCAUACUGCCGUGAAUACGUUCCCGGGCCUUGUACACACCGCCCGUCACACCAUGAGAGUUGGAAAUACCCGAAGCCUGUGAGCUAACAGUAAUGAGGCAGCAGUCGAAGGUAGAGCCAAUGAUUGGGGUGAAGUCGUAACAAGGUAUC